GAUGAACGCUGACAGAAUGCUUAACACAUGCAAGUCGAUGGGGAAGUGGUGCUUGCACCAUGGUAACCAUGGCGGACGGGUGAGUAACGCGUAAGGAACUUACCUGCGGGACCGGGAUAACAGCAGGAAACUGCUGACAAGACCGGAUAAGGUCAUUAAGCUGCAUAGCUUAGUGAUGAAAGGAGACGCCUGCGGAGAGCCUUGCGUCCUAUUAGCUAGUUGGAGGGGUAACGGCCCACCAAGGCGAAGAUAGGUAGCCGGCCUGAGAGGGUGGACGGCCACAAGGGGACUGAGAUACGGCCAUUACUCCUACGGGAGGCAGCAGUGGGUAAUAUUGGACAAUGGGGGCAACCCUGAUCCAGCAAUUCUGUGUGCACGAAGACGGUUUUCGGAUUGUAAAGUGCUUUCAGCAGGGAAGAAGGAAGUGACGGUACCUGCAGAAGAAGCGACGGCUAAAUACGUG
This 463-nucleotide ribosomal RNA is filed under the name uncultured bacterium. RNAcentral's name for it is "partial 16S ribosomal RNA". It matches the Rfam family "Bacterial small subunit ribosomal RNA", at positions 28 to 507 of the family's 1533-position model. The record is from RNAcentral.